Molecule: ribosomal RNA, 500 nt
Filed under: uncultured bacterium
Lineage: Bacteria
Description: partial 16S ribosomal RNA
Rfam family: Bacterial small subunit ribosomal RNA
Source: RNAcentral
AUUGAACGCUGGCGGCAUGCCUUACACAUGCAAGUCGAACGGCAGCACGGGAGCAAUCCUGGUGGCGAGUGGCGAACGGGUGAGUAAAGUAUCGGAACGUGCCCAGUCGUGGGGGAUAACGUAGCGAAAGUUACGCUAAUACCGCAUACGAUCUAUGGAUGAAAGCGGGGGAUCGCAAGACCUUGCGCGAUUGGAGCGGCCGAUAUCAGAUUAGGUAGUUGGUGGGGUAAAGGCUCACCAAGCCGACGAUCUGUAGCUGGUCUGAGAGGACGACCAGCCACACUGGGACUGAGACACGGCCCAGACUCCUACGGGAGGCAGCAGUGGGGAAUUUUGGACAAUGGGCGAAAGCCUGAUCCAGCCAUGCCGCGUGCAGGAUGAAGGCCCUCGGGUUGUAAACUGCUUUUGUACAGAACGAAAAGGUUUCUACUAAUACUAGGAGCUCAUGACGGUACUGUAAGAAUAAGCACCGGCUAACUACGUGCCAGCAGCCGCCGUAA